AUUGAACGCUGGCGGCAGGCCUAACACAUGCAAGUCGAGCGGUAGCACAGAGAGCUUGCUCUCGGGUGACGAGCGGCGGACGGGUGAGUAAUGUCUGGGAAACUGCCUGAUGGAGGGGGAUAACUACUGGAAACGGUAGCUAAUACCGCAUAACGUCGCAAGACCAAAGAGGGGGACCUUUGGGCCUCUCGCCAUCAGAUGUGCCCAGAUGGGAGUAGCUAGUAGGUGGGGUAACGGCUCACCUAGGCGACGAUCCCUAGCUGGUCUGAGAGGAUGACCAGCCACACUGGAACUGAGACACGGUCCAGACUCCUACGGGAGGCAGCAGUGGGGAAUAUUGCACAAUGGGCGCAAGCCUGAUGCAGCCAUGCCGCGUGUAUGAAGAAGGCCUUCGGGUUGUAAAGUACUUUCAGCGGGGAGGAAGGUGUUGAGGUUAAUAACCUCAGCAAUUGACGUUACCCGCAGAAGAAGCACCGGCUAACUCCGUGCCAGCCGCCGCGGUAA
This 504-nucleotide ribosomal RNA is filed under the name uncultured bacterium. RNAcentral's name for it is "partial 16S ribosomal RNA". It matches the Rfam family "Bacterial small subunit ribosomal RNA", at positions 30 to 523 of the family's 1533-position model. The record is from RNAcentral.